This 1054-nucleotide long non-coding RNA is filed under the name Bemisia tabaci. RNAcentral's name for it is "lncRNA ENSSSA3NGG006646". Lineage: Eukaryota; Metazoa; Arthropoda; Insecta; Hemiptera; Aleyrodidae. The record is from RNAcentral.
AUGAGCUCGAACGAGGGUCAGCCGAGUGGGAGCUCGGUAUUCCGGGAGCUGAAGUUCAGCAAGAAAGCCCGGCUGACGACCCUCCUGUCGCUGAAACCAGGAUUCCUGCGCUCCAAGUCGGCAUCGUCCGCCGCCAAGCCGAUCCCAGAGGAGGAAGCCCACGACGUCCCUUGGGACCCGGAGGACGACGACUUGGAACUGAAGGACUCGCUGAGCAAGACCCGCUCCGAGGAGAGCCUCUCGACAGGUAUGGUCUCCUGCCAGUCGCUGCCGGUCGGCAUAGAGGGGGCCCUCGCUGCAGCCGGAGGUGGAGCCGCGGGUUCAGCCCCGGGCGGUUCGUCCAAGAGCAUGACGAUGCCGCGGGGCGGGGGGCAGGCCGGGGGCGGUCCCGAGGGGCGGAGACGCCUCGGGAUGAGGCGUGGCUCCAGCAUGACCGACAUCGAUCGACUGGCCGCCCAGCCCAAGCUCCUGGCCGCCGGGUUCCCGACGUCGCCGGUCAGCGAGUCCGGCUCCUCCAGUCCGGCCGUUCUGGAUAAACGACGCUCGGCCAAUGCGCUAUCUGGUGGUGGUACGACGGACAGCAUCGGGGACCUGAUGAACAUGAAGAAGUACUACGGGGACGGGGGCUCGACGGAGACUAUGAUCGCGCGGACGGUGCCGCUGUCCAUGGUCUUCAUCCGCUCGCAGCAGGGGCAGGGGGCGGGGCAGGGCUCCCCGGGGGCGGAGCCCCAGCCGGGAGCAGCCCCGAGGAGGAGGAGUCGCCCCUGGAGCAGUGGCGACCCGAGAGAGAGCGCGCGCGCGACGUCAGCGACGCCCCGCGGCCGGAAGUCAAAGCGAAAGCGAAACCGGAACCGGAAACCCUCCCGGGACCGGAACAGCUGAGCAGCGUCCAGCGGACCGAGCGCCUCUCCCGGCUCAUCAAGCAGCAGCGCAACUCCGAGAAGACGCUCCAGUAUCCGCCUCUCGUCGUGAGUCUUUCUUUAAUUGGAUGUAUUUUUACUCAAUAAGGGAUUGUUCAUCAAUCACUAGGGUGUCUAGCAUCAGUAAAAAUCGG